This 288-nucleotide ribosomal RNA is filed under the name Triticum aestivum (bread wheat). RNAcentral's name for it is "partial small subunit ribosomal RNA". Lineage: Eukaryota; Viridiplantae; Streptophyta; Magnoliopsida; Poales; Poaceae. The record is from RNAcentral.
GGUUGCAAUCGCCUUCUCACUAGUUCUGACAAUAUGAAAGUCAUUGAUACCAUAAAGAAUGGAGGACGUUCAGCAGGAGCAGCGACAUCAGUUUUUGAUGACUGUUAUUUUUUAGCCUGUGAUUUUCAUCUCACUAGUUUUGAGUAUUAUUGUAACAAGGAAGCAAACAAGGUAGCUCAUGAACUUGCCAGGUUACCUAGAUUUUCUGAGGCAAGGGGACGGUUUGAAGAGCAUUUGGUCGAAAUUUUACAAUCUCUAAUAGAUGAUGUAACCAUUAUUUCUAACUAA